This 1013-nucleotide unclassified non-coding RNA is filed under the name Hevea brasiliensis (rubber tree). The record is from RNAcentral. Lineage: Eukaryota; Viridiplantae; Streptophyta; Magnoliopsida; Malpighiales; Euphorbiaceae.
GUCCAUACUGAUGCCAGCCGGCGCAGACAGAUAAUAGAUCAACUUGGAGAAGCCUGCCAGAAAUGGGGUUUCUUUCAAUUGAUCAGUCAUGGAAUCCCUGCACAUGUUUUGGAUGGAAUGGUUGACGGGAUACUUCAAUUUCAUGAGCAAGACAUUGAGGUCAAAAAACAGUUCUUUUCACGGGAUGAAAAGAGAAAGGUCAGCUAUAAUUCCAACUUUGAUCUCUACCAAACUAAGGCAGCUAGUUGGAGGGAUUCGUUAUAUUGUGCCAUGUCUCCUAAUCCACCCAGUCCUGAAGAAUUGCCCGCAGUUUGUAGAGAUAUCACGAUCCAUUACUUGAAAAAAGCAACGAAUUUGGGGUUGACAUUAUUCGAAUUAGUAUCGGAAGCUCUUGGACUUGAUCCCAACCACCUGAAAAAUUUGGGAUGUGCAGAGGGGAUAUUUUUCGUCGGCCAUUACUACCCUGCAUGCCCUGAACCAGGCAUGACUUUGGGCAUUAGCAAGCAUAGUGAUAGUGGCUUCCUUACGAUUCUUUUGCAAGAUCGAUUGGGUGGCCUUCAAGUCCUCCAUGAAGAUCAAUGGGUUGAUGUUACCCCUGUUCCUGGAGCUCUAGUAGUAAAUCUGGGAGAUCUACUACAGAUAAUGAGCAAUGAUAAGUUUAAAAGCGUAUAUCACAGGGUGAUAGCAAAAAAUGUUGGACCAAGAAUAUCAGUUGCUUGUUUCUUCGGAACCCACUUCGAGCAAGGGACAUCGUCAUCGUCCAGACUCUAUGGGCCGAUCAAGCAGUUGCUGUCAAAAGAUAAUCCUCCAAUAUACAAAGAAACUACUGUAAGAGACUAUGUUGCUCAAGUCUACACAAAAGGGCUUGAUGGGAUCACUGGACUGGAAUAUUUCAAAUUGUGAAUUUAGCUAGUGCUGUGUAUUAGUGUGCUUCUCCAAGUUAAUCUCCCCGCUGCACUAUACAUGUAAUUGUGCUCUAGUUUUAAAAUGAACUGCAGCAAUAAUAAACAAAG